This 839-nucleotide transfer RNA is filed under the name uncultured Synechococcus sp. Its description in RNAcentral is "partial contains 16S ribosomal RNA, 16S-23S ribosomal RNA intergenic spacer, tRNA-Ile, tRNA-Ala, and 23S ribosomal RNA". The stretch from base 190 to 263 matches the Rfam family "tRNA". The record is from RNAcentral. Lineage: Bacteria; Bacillati; Cyanobacteriota; Cyanophyceae; Synechococcales; Synechococcaceae.
UGGAUCACCUCCUAACAGGGAGACAAACAAUGAUUUUGAUGCCUGAGUACUUUUUUUCUUAGGCCUAAAUCCUGUCUCCUUAAGGCGAUCGGUACCUCAACUUCAGUGGUCAGAGAGCUUGUUCUGCUGAUGCUUUGAUUUUUAGUUCCUAAUUUUUGUCUAGGUCAUCCCAUAAAGGGUUCCCUUCCUGGGCCAUUAGAUCAGGUGGUUAGAGCGCACCCCUGAUAAGGGUGAGGUCCCUGGUUCAAGUCCAGGAUGGCCCAUUCUCCUGGGAUUUUGGAUCAUUUGGGGGUUUAGCUCCCUGAUAAGGCGCCUGCUUUGCAAGAAGGAUGUCAUGGGCUCUAGUCCGCUAGCCUCCACUAACACUACUGAAGUCCGAAUCCAGGAAGAGCUUCUUGGUUGGUGACUAGACGUUGUUCGAUCAGAAUCCACUGGGUCGUCCAGCCUUAUUCAGCCUCGGCUCAUUUGUUUGACACUUUGGUGUUGAUCUGAUUGAGCUGAUGCUGAAUUCACUCUCGAAAGAGAGAGGAUUUGGCAGAACCUUGACAACUGCUUCUUGAGUCUGGAAAGACAAAAGCAUCUCAUAGAGAUCUGAACGUCUUUCGCCGCAAGGCGAUUGAUGAACUGAUGAUUCUAUUUUUGACAGCCGAGACCUUCUAGCGUUCUUCCCAAUCCGCCGAGGAGCGGGGAGUUUGAUCCUUGUUUCUAACUGGAGCAGUAAUGCUUUAAGAGAAACUUGAGAGAAUGGGCCUCAACAGCCUGAAGCGUUAGGAAGAUUAAUUGGUCUAGCUACAAAGGGCUCACGGUGGAUACCUUGUCACACAGAGGCGAUGACGGAA